AUGGCUCAGGACUGAACGCUAGCGAUAGGCUUAACACAUGCAAGUCGAGGGGCAGCACGGUGUAGCAAUACACUGGUGGCGACCGGCGUACGGGUGCGUAACACGUAUGCAACCUACCCGCUAUUGGGGGAUAACCCGGCGAAAGUCGGACUAAUAUCCCAUAUUAUUCUUACCGGGCAUCCGGUGAGUCUGAAAGAUUUAUCGAUUGCGGAUGGGCAUGCGGAUGAUUAGCUAGUAGGUGGGGUAACGGCUCACCUAGGCGACGAUCAUUAGGGGGUUCUGAGAGGAAGGUCCCCCCACACUGGGAACUGAGACACGGUCCAGACUCCUACGGGAGGCAGCAGUGAGGAAUAUUGGUCAAUGGGCGCUAGCCUGAACCAGCCAAGUCGCGUGAAGGAUGAACCAGAUCUAUGGUUUGUAAACUUCUUUUGCAGGGGAGUAAAGUGCGACACGUGUGUUGUAUUGCAAGUACCCUGCGAAUAAGCAUCGGCUAACUCCGUGCCAGCCGCCGC
This 512-nucleotide ribosomal RNA is filed under the name uncultured bacterium. RNAcentral's name for it is "bacterial SSU rRNA". It matches the Rfam family "Bacterial small subunit ribosomal RNA", at positions 19 to 518 of the family's 1533-position model. The record is from RNAcentral.